CAGCCGCCGCGGGAAUACGGAGGGUGCAAGCGCUAUCCGGAUUCACUGGGUUUAAAGGGUGCGUAGGCGGGCAGGUAAGUCAGUGGUGAAAUCUUCGAGCUUAACUCGGAAACUGCCAUUGAUACUAUCUGUCUUGAAUAACGUUGAGGUGAGCGGAAUAUGUCAUGUAGCGGUGAAAUGCUUAGAUAUGACAUAGAACACCGAUUGCGAAGGCAGCUCACUAAACGCUCAUUGACGCUGAGGCACGAAAGCGUGGGGAUCAAACAGGAUUAGAGACCCCGGUAGUCCCUGUCUCUUAUAC
Molecule: ribosomal RNA, 301 nt
Filed under: uncultured bacterium
Lineage: Bacteria
Description: partial 16S ribosomal RNA
Rfam family: Bacterial small subunit ribosomal RNA
Source: RNAcentral